RNAcentral lists this ribosomal RNA (466 nucleotides) under uncultured bacterium. Its description in RNAcentral is "partial 16S ribosomal RNA". It matches the Rfam family "Bacterial small subunit ribosomal RNA", at positions 28 to 507 of the family's 1533-position model. The record is from RNAcentral.
GAUGAACGCUGGCGGCGUGCUUAACACAUGCAAGUCGAACGAUGAAGCCCAGCUUGCUGGGUGGAUUAGUGGCGAACGGGUGAGUAACACGUGAGUAACCUGCCCUUGACUCUGGGAUAAGCCUGGGAAACUGGGUCUAAUACUGGAUAUGACUUCUCAUCGCAUGGUGGGGGGUGGAAAGAUUUAUUGGUCUUGGAUGGACUCGCGGCCUAUCAGCUUGUUGGUGAGGUAAUGGCUCACCAAGGCGACGACGGGUAGCCGGCCUGAGAGGGUGACCGGCCACACUGGGACUGAGACACGGCCCAGACUCCUACGGGAGGCAGCAGUGGGGAAUAUUGCACAAUGGGCGCAAGCCUGAUGCAGCGACGCCGCGUGAGGGAUGACGGCCUUCGGGUUGUAAACCUCUAUCAGUAGGGAAGAAGCGAGAGUGACGGUACCUGCAGAAGAAGCGCCGGCUAACUACGUG